RNAcentral lists this ribosomal RNA (506 nucleotides) under uncultured bacterium. Its description in RNAcentral is "bacterial SSU rRNA". It matches the Rfam family "Bacterial small subunit ribosomal RNA", at positions 9 to 511 of the family's 1533-position model. The record is from RNAcentral.
GAGUUUGAUCGUGGCUCAGAUUGAACGCUGGCGGCAGGCCUAACACAUGCAAGUCGAGCGGUAGAGAGAAGCUUGCUUCUCUUGAGAGCGGCGGACGGGUGAGUAAUGCCUAGGAAUCUGCCUGGUAGUGGGGGAUAACGCUCGGAAACGGACGCUAAUACCGCAUACGUCCUACGGGAGAAAGCAGGGGACCUUCGGGCCUUGCGCUAUCAGAUGAGCCUAGGUCGGAUUAGCUAGUUGGUGAGGUAAUGGCUCACCAAGGCGACGAUCCGUAACUGGUCUGAGAGGAUGAUCAGUCACACUGGAACUGAGACACGGUCCAGACUCCUACGGGAGGCAGCAGUGGGGAAUAUUGGACAAUGGGCGAAAGCCUGAUCCAGCCAUGCCGCGUGUGUGAAGAAGGUCUUCGGAUUGUAAAGCACUUUAAGUUGGAGGAAGGGCAGUAAAUUAAUACUUUGCUGUUUUGACGUUACCGACAGAAUAAGCACCGGCUAACUCUGUGCCAG